UACGGAGGGAGCGAGCGUUGUCCGAAGUUACUGGGCGUAAAGCGCGCGUAGGCGGGGGAUUAAGUGAGAAGUGAAAGGCUGAGGCUCAACCUCAUGCAGUGCUUCUCAUACUGGUCCUCUUGAGGGUGGUAGAGAGAAGUGGAAAUGGCUGGUGUAGCGGUGAAAUGCGUAGAUACUCAAGUCGGAACACCGGUGGCGAGGCGGCUCUUGGGCCAAUUUCUGACGCUGAGGCGCGAAGCUAGGGAGCGAACGGGA
This 255-nucleotide ribosomal RNA is filed under the name uncultured bacterium. RNAcentral describes it as "partial 16S ribosomal RNA". It matches the Rfam family "Bacterial small subunit ribosomal RNA", at positions 524 to 777 of the family's 1533-position model. The record is from RNAcentral.